UAGGGAAUAUUGCAAAAUGGGCGAAAGCCCGAUGCAGCAACGCCGCGUGGGCGAUGAAGGCCUUCGGGUCGUAAAGCCCUUUUUGAGGGGAUGAGGAAGGACAGUACCCUCAGAAUAAGCCUCGGCUAACUACGUGCCAGCAGCCGCGGUAAAACGUAGGAGGCGAGCGUUAUCCGGAUUUACUGGGCGUAAAGCGCAUGCAGGCGGAUUGGAGAGUUGGAUGUGAAAGCUCCCGGCUUAACUGGGAGAGGUCGUUCAAUACUUCCAGUCUUGAGUGCAGUAGAGGGAAGUGGAAUUCCGGGUGUAGUGGUGAAAUGCGUAGAUAUCCGGAGGAACACCAGUGGCGAAAGCGGCUUCCUGGACUGUAACUGACGCUCAGACGCGAAAGCUAGGGUAGCAAACG
Molecule: ribosomal RNA, 403 nt
Filed under: uncultured bacterium
Lineage: Bacteria
Description: bacterial SSU rRNA
Rfam family: Bacterial small subunit ribosomal RNA
Source: RNAcentral